UACAGAGGGUGCGAGCGUUAAUCGGAAUUACUGGGCGUAAAGCGCGCGUAGGCGGCUUUGCAAGUCGGGUGUGAAAUCCCCAGGCUUAACCUGGGAACUGCAUUCGAGACUGCAUUGCUAGAGUAUGGGAGAGGGAAGUGGAAUUUCCGGUGUAGCGGUGAAAUGCGUAGAUAUCGGGAGGAACACCGGUGGCGAAGGCGGCGACCUGGGUAGAUACUGACGCUGAGGCGCGAAGGCGUGGGGAGCAAACAGG
RNAcentral lists this ribosomal RNA (253 nucleotides) under uncultured bacterium. RNAcentral describes it as "partial 16S ribosomal RNA". It matches the Rfam family "Bacterial small subunit ribosomal RNA", at positions 524 to 776 of the family's 1533-position model. The record is from RNAcentral.